Molecule: ribosomal RNA, 482 nt
Filed under: uncultured bacterium
Lineage: Bacteria
Description: partial 16S ribosomal RNA
Rfam family: Bacterial small subunit ribosomal RNA
Source: RNAcentral
AUUGAACGCUGGCGGCAUGCUUUACACAUGCAAGUCGAACGGUAACAGGCCGCAAGGUGCUGACGAGUGGCGAACGGGUGAGUAAUGCAUCGGAACGUGCCCAGUCGUGGGGGAUAACUACUCGAAAGAGUAGCUAAUACCGCAUACGAUCUAUGGAUGAAAGCGGGGGACCGUAAGGCCUCGCGCGAUUGGAGCGGCCGAUGUCAGAUUAGGUAGUUGGUGGGGUAAAGGCUCACCAAGCCAACGAUCUGUAGCUGGUCUGAGAGGACGACCAGCCACACUGGGACUGAGACACGGCCCAGACUCCUACGGGAGGCAGCAGUGGGGAAUUUUGGACAAUGGGCGCAAGCCUGAUCCAGCAAUGCCGCGUGCAGGAAGAAGGCCUUCGAGUUGUAAACUGCUUUUGUACGGAACGAAACGGCUCUGGUUAAUACCCGGGGCUAAUGACGGUACCGUAAGAAUAAGCACCGGCUAACUACGUG